AUUGAACGCUGGCGGCAUGCUUUACACAUGCAAGUCGAACGGUAACAGGCCGCAAGGUGCUGACGAGUGGCGAACGGGGGCGUAAUGCAUCGGAACGUGCCCAGUCGUGGGGGAUAACUACGCGAAAGAGUAGCUAAUACCGCAUACGAUCUAUGGAUGAAAGCGGGGGACCGUAAGGCCUCGCGCGAUUGUAGCGGCCGAUGUCAGAUUAGGUAGUUGGUGGGGUAAAGGCUCACCAAGCCAACGAUCUGUAGCUGGUCUGAGAGGACGACCAGCCACACUGGGACUGAGACACGGCCCAGACUCCUACGGGAGGCCGCAGUGGGGAAUUUUGGACAAUGGGCGCAAGCCUGAUCCAGCAAUGCCGCGUGCAGGAAGAAGGCCUUCGGGUUGUAAACUGCUUUUGUACGGAACGAAACGGCUCUGGUUAAUACCCGGGGCUAAUGACGGUACCGUAAGAAUAAGCACCGGCUAACUACGUG
RNAcentral lists this ribosomal RNA (482 nucleotides) under uncultured bacterium. Its description in RNAcentral is "partial 16S ribosomal RNA". It matches the Rfam family "Bacterial small subunit ribosomal RNA", at positions 30 to 507 of the family's 1533-position model. The record is from RNAcentral.